Non-coding RNA from Cephalotus follicularis, 46 nucleotides. NCBI's taxonomy places the organism in Eukaryota, Viridiplantae, Streptophyta, Magnoliopsida, Oxalidales, Cephalotaceae. The record is from Rfam.
AUAAAGGAUCUCAUAGGAUCCACAUCACUCAAACCAUAUAAUGAUC